RNAcentral lists this non-coding RNA (109 nucleotides) under Bacillus sp. (in: firmicutes). RNAcentral's name for it is "Bacillus sp. Azaaromatic sequence". It matches the Rfam family "azaaromatic riboswitch aptamer (yjdF RNA)". Lineage: Bacteria; Bacillati; Bacillota; Bacilli; Caryophanales; Bacillaceae. The record is from RNAcentral.
AGUAAGGAAUGAAAAAACACGAUCCGGUUGGUAGUCCGGAUGCAUCAAUCAUCAUAUUGAUGUCAGUAACCUUCCCUUCCUCGGGUUGUCCAUCAUUCCAAGAUUUAUU